This 800-nucleotide ribosomal RNA is filed under the name uncultured soil bacterium. RNAcentral describes it as "bacterial SSU rRNA". It matches the Rfam family "Bacterial small subunit ribosomal RNA", at positions 9 to 809 of the family's 1533-position model. The record is from RNAcentral.
GAGUUUGAUCCUGGCUCAGGAUGAACGCUAGCGGCAGGCCUAAUACAUGCAAGUCGAACGGGGCUAAGUAGCAAUACUUAGUUCAGUGGCGCACGGGUGCGUAACGCGUAUGCAACCUACCUUAAACUGGGGGAUAGCCUUCCGAAAGGGAGAUUAAUACCGCAUAAGAUCACACGAGGGCAUCUGAGAGUGAUUAAAGAUUUAUUGGUUUAAGAUGGGCAUGCGUGCCAUUAGCUAGUUGGUAGGGUAACGGCCUACCAAGGCUACGAUGGCUAGGGGUUCUGAGAGGAUGAUCCCCCACACUGGUACUGAGAUACGGACCAGACUCCUACGGGAGGCAGCAGUAGGGAAUAUUGGGCAAUGGACGCAAGUCUGACCCAGCCAUGCCGCGUGCAGGAUGAAGGCCUUCUGGGUUGUAAACUGCUUUUAUCUAGGAAGAAAACGCCCAUGCGUGGGAAACUGACGGUACUAGAUGAAUAAGCACCGGCUAACUCCGUGCCAGCAGCCGCGGUAAUACGGAGGGUGCAAGCGUUGUCCGGAUUUAUUGGGUUUAAAGGGUGCGUAGGCGGUCCUGUAAGUCAGUGGUGAAAGCCUCCAGCUCAACUGGAGAACUGCCAUUGAUACUGCAGGGCUUGAGUACAGACGAGGUUGGCGGAAUUGAUUGUGUAGCGGUGAAAUGCAUAGAUACAAUCAAGAACUCCGAUUGCGUAGGCAGCUAACUAGGCUGUAACUGACGCUGAGGCACGAAAGCGUGGGGAGCGAACAGGAUUAGAUACCCUGGUAGUCCACGCUGUAAACGA